This 90-nucleotide transfer RNA is filed under the name Trichosporon asahii var. asahii CBS 2479. Its description in RNAcentral is "tRNA-Lys". It matches the Rfam family "tRNA". Rfam says of the family: Transfer RNA (tRNA) molecules are approximately 80 nucleotides in length. Their secondary structure includes four short double-helical elements and three loops (D, anti-codon, and T loops). RNAcentral also lists the same sequence under 1 other name. Lineage: Eukaryota; Fungi; Basidiomycota; Tremellomycetes; Trichosporonales; Trichosporonaceae. The record is from RNAcentral.
GCCUCGUUAUAUCAGUCGGUAGAUAGUGUGACUCUUACGCAAUAAAGCCGAUUGAUCACACAGUCAUGGGUUCGAGCCCCAUACGAGGCU